Impatiens glandulifera is the source of this 236-nucleotide long non-coding RNA. RefSeq lists it as uncharacterized. The record is from RefSeq and is a predicted model, not a curated record. The transcript is spliced from 3 exons. NCBI's taxonomy places the organism in Eukaryota, Viridiplantae, Streptophyta, Magnoliopsida, Ericales, Balsaminaceae.
GUUUACUCACUAACUACAGCUUGAUGGAAGAAUUGAUUGCUAGCAAAAAAACUGUAACCAAAAUUGUUUCUGGUGCACCAAAUGUUUUACCUAGGAAUGUUGUAACUUGCUAGACAUCCAACGUCUUAUGAUGAACUUUUACAGAAGAUCCUUUUGGUUCUAGAUGGAACAACUAGGUUGCAUAUGCUUCCACAAGCAAAAGGGAGUUCAAUGAGGCAGUUGGAAUAACUGGUUUG